RNAcentral lists this ribosomal RNA (399 nucleotides) under Tetraselmis cordiformis. RNAcentral describes it as "partial small subunit ribosomal RNA". It matches the Rfam family "Eukaryotic small subunit ribosomal RNA", at positions 30 to 432 of the family's 1831-position model. Lineage: Eukaryota; Viridiplantae; Chlorophyta; Chlorodendrophyceae; Chlorodendrales; Chlorodendraceae. The record is from RNAcentral.
GCUUGUCUCAAAGAUUAAGCCAUGCAUGUCUCAGUAUAAGCUUUUACACGGCGAAACUGCGAAUGGCUCAUUAAAACAGUUAUCGUUUCUUUGGUGGUUAUUGAUUACAUGGAUAACCGUGGUAAUUCUAGAGCUAAUACGUGCGUAAAUCCCGACUCCUGGAAGGGACGUAUUUAUUAGAUUUAAGGCCAACCGAGCUUGCUCGUCUCUUGGUGAAUCAUGAUAACUUCACGAAUCGCAUGGCCUCGCGCCGGCGAUAUUUCAUUCAAAUUUCUGCCCUAUCAAUUGGCGAUGGUAGGAUAGAGGCCUACCAUGGUGUUAACGGGUGACGGGGGAUUAGGGUUCGAUUCCGGAGAGGCAGCCUGAGAAACGGCUACCACAUCCAAGGAAGGCAGCAGG